This 25877-nucleotide long non-coding RNA is filed under the name Sorghum bicolor (sorghum). Its description in RNAcentral is "long non-coding RNA (SBIC_LNC017598)". The record is from RNAcentral. Lineage: Eukaryota; Viridiplantae; Streptophyta; Magnoliopsida; Poales; Poaceae.
AUCUGACAAAUGUUUUAAAUGUUACACUCAUGAUCUUAUUAUCCAUCAACUUUGUCUUGCUCACUAUGCUUAAGGUUAGAGAGAACAAAUACACUUUUGGUUCUGUUGGUGUUUUCCACCAACCGGGCCCAUGCACUUGAUCUCUGCCUUGUCUCUAUGAGCAGGUACACUUCAAGCAAACUAUGAAGGACUUUUACAACUCCCAGACUCCACCAAGUGAAGAACCUAGAUCAACGAGUACACACACUGGAGAUACUGGACACUCAGGCAAUCACUGCCCUGAGAUGCUUGAUGACGUAAACUACAUCAUCAACAACUAUUACUACAACCGUCCUCAACAAAACCAAGGUUGGAAUCAACGGAGGCCUAACUACUCAGAGAGGCAAUCCAGGACGCCCCGUCAUCCCGAUCUCCAUCGGCAUGGUGGACUUCCUAGAAGCACUCUGCGACUUUGGCUCCAGCGUCAACAUUAUGCAUAGGGAAUAUUGAAGAACCUCUGCGUCUGAGUUGGUACCUUGUACGCCCCAGCAGACUUUGUGGUGAUAGAGACUGGUACUGAUGAGAGGGCACCCAUCAUCCUUGGGAGGCCAUUCCUGAACACCUCGGGAGCUGUCAUCUACGCUAGUGCUGCCAAGAUCAGUUUCUACAUCAAGGGGACGAAGGAGAUGUUUUCCUUCAAGAACAAGACUACCCAAACCCUAGAGCAAUCCCGACAUGAACCAAGGAAGAGGACCAACAGGAGGAACAGGAACAAGCAAAUGUGUACCGAGUCAGCUAAGAUGGUCACUGCAGCUCAAAGAGGUCAAGAUCGUCAACUCAAGUCACCUUUCUUGAUCAAGAAGGACGACCCUAGUGUUCCAAGCAUCGAGUGCACAAUCAACGGAUAUUCUUUUUAGAAGACACUCUACGACACCGGAUCUAACGUCAACAUAAUGGCCGCAGUCACUUAUCAGCUCCUGCAUGGAACCAUGUCCCUACAACCAACAUACAUUCAGCUCCAGAAGAUUUUAAGGUUAUUGACAUGGGAGAAGAUAAGUACGAUCCACCCAUCAUCCUUGGAAGACCGUUCCUCAGCACUGUUAAAGCAAUCAUCUACAUUGGAACCGGAGAAGUCCACAUGCACUUCCCCUCUGAGAAGGUACACUGCUAUUUUACUGACCCUAACUAUAUAGUUGAAGACUCUAAGCAGGUCAGGGCAAGAAGAAGACAACGCAACCGCAACCAGAGGAGGCAAAUCAUCAAGGACGGAUGGGCAGACUAUGAAGGAGAAGUCGUAAGGUCUGAAGACAUACAGCUUGAACAUAACUGUCCUGAGGAGACCGUAGCUCCGAGUCAGGUGUGGUGAGAGAAGAUAGUUAUACAUGAAGAUCAAGCGCUGCCGGAACCACCGACUACGCCAUCGAGCGAAUCCCAGGACAACUGAGAAAAUAGAGAGUCCCGUUCGGAGGACUUAAAAACACCGAACGCCUUGCCAAGAGGUAAACUUGGUAGUUAUCCUUUUUCCCUUUCAAUUAUCUAAAAUAGUUUGCUUAGUUAAUCAGGUUCAUAUCAUCUUAAAAAGAAAAUAAAAAUGUUAAAAAUAGUAAGCCCCAUGUGAGUAUGCUCAUGGAAUAAAACCCAUAAGUACAUUCACUGUGGUGGCAUAAAAAUAAAAUAAAUAUAUUCCUGUCCUAUAAAAAUGAAAAUAUAAAAAUAAAUUUAUGAUCCUAAUAAAGAGAGUAACAUUUAUUGAGGAGGCUCAACAUGAUAAAGGCUAGGUAUUUACGCUAACCCUUAACCAGUUCCACAAAGCUUUGUUGUCUAUUUGAACUCUACAGAAUUCAAGGAUCAAAGAAGACUAGCAGACGGAGAACAUCCUAAUCGCUGACAGAGUGCUGCCGACAUUCAAAUACACCUCCGCCAGCUGCUAGCUACAUCAGAAGAAAUUACGUCAAAAUCCAGCUUGGGGGAGAGCACCCCCAUUUAUCCAGCUAAGUGUUCUACUCACGUUGAUAUUUUACUCAAAUAAUAAAAAGAUGCAUGAUCAUAAAAACCCAAAUAAAGAUUUUGUGCUUAUAUAUAUCUUUGCUUAGUUUGCUAAAUAAAUAAAUAAAGUUUGCUAUGAACCCUCAUGAUAAGCUCUCACAUGGAAAUGAUGAAUAGUUGCUCUGCCAUGACUAGUUCUCAAAAUUGAAAUCUCUCUCAAGUUUAGGCCUAACUGUUAUUAAAUAAGAUUUGCUCUAAACCUGAACUUGUGGGAAGAGUACUUGAUCUGAAGUCUAAGUCGUUAACGGAUAUGAUAUGGGAAGGUUAAGCUGCUGUUUAUCUGUUCUUAGAGAUGCUAGAAUUCUGGAGAAUUUUAUCUUUGAAAAUCUUUAAAGUGUUGCAUGAUGAGUUCCUGUAUGAUGAGAGUUUAAAUUCCUACCACAGCCAUAUAUACAUGCUUGCUAGACUUUGAGCCACACAUUUACUUUUUACUGCUUAUGAGCAUUGAGUGUGGUCAAGCUGUGUAGACCCUUAGGAGCUUGUCAUGUGGUUAAAUUAAGAUUCACUUGCACGUUCACUCACACAUGCUGCUUCUACUCUGGAAGUACGCAUCCACAUAUAUCCAUCCAUUUCCAUCUCCAGAACCACCCAAAAAUAUUCUACUCCUAAUCCGGGAAAGAAUAGCUAAAAACAUUCUCCUAUUUCUGUUUUCCCCUGUGAAAUAAAUGCUCAAGUUAUCUUGGUUACUACCACUUGCUAUAUUAUUUCAGGAGAUGAGUGCUCUAAAAAAAUAAAAAGAAGAAGAAGAAAAAAAGAAAGAUACGAGGAAAUAAAAAGGGGCAAGUGCCCGGAACCUCGAAAGAAAAGAAAAAGUGAGACGAGAGGUAAAAAUGGACAAGUGUCCAACAGUAGAAUUAGGGGAACAAGAUACCCACCUGAGAGAAAAGAAAAAGAAAAUAUAGAGCAUCUCAUUCUCCUCAAAAAGUUUCAAAAGAGCAAGAAAGGUAUGUAUCCCUUCGAAAGAGCAAAAGUAGAAUUAGACUUUCACCAUUGUUAUCACCAUCAUCACCAUACACCAUUCAUUCACCACACAUGCACAUCUUGAUUUGACUUAUUGACUUGUUCUUCUGGAUCCAUGGUUUGACUAUGCAAUAAAUGUCUUGUAAGUAUGUAUUAGCUGUCUCCCACCUAUGAGCUCCAGAUAUCAAAAGCCUUAUUAGAGUAGGGUGAGAGAGAAGGCAAUGCCACUAUGCCUUAUACCACAAAUACCACAUACUUUGAGAGAAGGCAUACACCAUUAAUGCCUUGGUAAGGAUCCAGAAAUACCACAAAAGAGAGAAUAGAGAGAGUUAUACAAGGAAUCUUUGAGUUUUAUUUGAAAAUAUGCAAAAACUCCAGAGCUAUAGUUAAUCGAAGAACAAGAGACAUGGCGCUUGACUAGACCGUUCUAUCUUUUAACUGCUCAAGACAGAAGUGACGGUUACAAGUCCCAUGGUGGAAGGUAAAAUGAGUAAGUUUAAAUCUUAACAGUUUACUCUAACCAGAGAUGAGAUCUUGUUUAAACGCAUGUGUAUCUUUAAGUUAUGAAACCACUGCAGAAACUCUUGAGUUCAUCUUUGCUCAGGGACGAGCAAAGGUUAAGCUUGGGGGAGCUUGUUGACGGUCCUUAAUACUCACAAUUAACUAUCAAUUAAUCAUGGAAAAGGAUCCAAAUGCAACCAACACCUAGACUUAGGGUUUUAUCUGACAGAAUUCCACGAGUUUUGGUGUUUGUGUAUUUCUGCAGGGGGUUAUCAGGAAAUAUGGAAGAAAGGCCCACAGGUCGGGUUUACAUAGAGAUAUUAACAUGUCGCGCAAUUUUCUAUCAUCUAGAAGACUCCAGAAGCCACGGGAACGAACGGGAAGGAAAUCGGGCUCGGAGGCAGGGUGCCCGCCCAACUCUCCUGGGCGCCCGCCCAGCUACAGUGUCCAAUCAGGACACGUUUCGCGGAUUAUGCUCCACCGACCUAAAGGAUCAAGGAAAACCGUGCGAUCAAUGUCGGUUUGAUCCGACGGCCUAGAUUCAUCUGAAAAGACUAUAUAAGCAAGGCCCCCUGGCCCCUGGAGAUCAUACCUCUUCUACAGAAUCAAAGUUAGGGUUUCAAUUCUUCAUCCAAGUAGAGAGGAUCCCUCUAGUUCUUCUAGUUCUACCUCUAGUUCAUCUAGAUCUAGUUCUAGUUCAUCUAGUUCUAGUUCUAGUUCCUCUAGUUCUAGUUCUAGUUAGUUAUAGUUGUAAUCAAGAAAAUAGGGAGAGAGAAGAGGAGAGCGGAGGAGGAACCGGAUCUGUCGGAUCUUCCUCAACAUUGUACUUUUGCAGCAUCUGGUUCAUUCUUCAUCGUUCUCCAGGUUCUUCAACUCAUAACUCCUAAGUUCUCUAAUUACUUUUAUUUACAUUCAAGUUAUUUAUUGGAUUCCCGCUUGCAUCAAGUGCUCUAAUCUUUGAAACAUUAGAGUAGUAAUUAAUAGAUUAGACGUGGAGUUUAGUCUUGCAAUUACCUGGAAUUGCACCCAAUCCUGCGGAUUGUUGUGGUAGCCUUAUGGUAGUGACAGCCCUAACGGUCGACGUAUUCCACCUCGUUUGGAUCGGUAUUUGUAGGACCGUAGUCGGAGCUUCCUAGCCCCCUUCUCAUCUCUUUCCAUGGUUAGUGUUCUGAUGUCCCGAUAUAGAUAAUCUUGAAGUAAUUCUUGAUUCUUAAAUCAACUAGAGAACUCUUAGGAAACUUCCUCUCUUCCCACCAAAAAUACUUAUAUAGUUAUCCUUGGGCGAUCUUGAUUCUUAAUUAGUACACUCACGUUCCCUGUGGAAAAUCGAUACUCUGGAAUACUCCCGGGUGAAGGCUACAUCGGUAUCCGUGCGCUUGCGGAUUUUUCUGUUUGCGUUUAAAAUACCCAACAGUGACCCCGCCUAAGGCGGUUGGGUAUACGAGUCCCGAGGUACCACGCCUUUCCACGGUGCCAGCAGAGCAGCUUUCGCAGUUCUGAGGGACCUCAUGGAGAGGUUUCCAUAGGAGCUGGCCCACGCCUUCGCUGGGGUGUUUCCCCGGGGUGACCCCUACAGUUCGGUGUGGGAUCAGUCCGAGGUGAAUGCUCUAGAGAGAAGUGCGGACGAGGACCAGCACAGUGACAGUGCAGCUAUGAGUGCUAUGUUCGCCUUGAUGAAGACCUAUGGGGGUCUGGAGCGUUGUUUGGGACGCUUGUCUGGGUCUCUUCUCACAGUUCAGGAUGAGAAGUGCCAGCUGCAGCGUGAGUUUGACACUGAGGUUGAGAGGUUGCAAGCAUAGUUGGCCCGCAUGACUCGAGAGAGGGAUCAGGCGGUCCAAAAGAACAGUGAGCUGAGUCUGGACCGGCUUGCAGUAAGAGACCAGAGGGACAGGGUGACUACUUCUCACAGGAACUGCGAGCGCAUGCUAGUUCAUGUGCUUGGUCAGAGGAAUGAAGCCUGGCACGAGGAGGACACCCGAAGGGCCCGACAGCUAGAGCUUGAGCAGCAGCUAGCUAAUGCUGAGGAGUACAAUGAGAACCUGCGUGAGGAAAUCCACCAGCUGCAUAACCAGCUCCACCCUCACCACCUGCCUGGAGGAGCUGAGUUAGACUCUGAGGACGAGAUGGAUGAGGGCCCAGAGUUGGGGGCAGCUGCUAGUGGAGAUGAGGACGAGGAGGGCUCUGGCGUGGACAGUGACCAUAGCGAGUAGAUGUUAGGGAUAUAGAGCUAGUCCUUCUUCUUUUGUUGUUGUUGUUGCAUGGCAUGUCUUGUAAUCUGUGGAUCUGGGCUGUGUAAAACUUUAUGUGAUGACGCUGAAAGUCCAGUGUAUGUAUGCUGGCAAUUUUGGAUGUAUGCGAACCUGAUUGUUUAAUGUUAAGUAAUUCGUUAGUGAGGUUGUGUGGAUGAUGAAUUGUUGUGCCUUUGUUUAUUGUGCGAAUUUAUUUCCUCAGUAAAUUCAGUAUGGCAUAAUUCUACAUAUGUCUACCGUUGAUGGCAACUCCUAACGACUGCUUAUCAUUGACGUGUGCAGAUGGUGCAAACCCGUGGCUGGGGUAACAGCAACCCCGGACUUGGAGCAGGUACUUCCGGAGGUGGGGCUCAACGGAAUGAGGAAAGAGCACCAUCACCGCCACCACCACCGCCUCCUCCGUACACUGCGGACGUGUUUUUUGCAUAGUUUCUGGGGAGCCAACGCAACAUGGAGCAGAUGCAGCGCAACAUGGAAGAAGCCCUGUGCAAUAUCGCUGACAAUACCCGCCGUGGGGAUAACCAGGGCGGCCGUGAAGCCAAUCAGUAUAGCUCUUUCAAGGACUUCAUGGAUACCAAACCACCCGUCUUCAAGGAGGCCCUAGAACCGCUUGAGGCAGAUGAGUGGAUCAACACCAUGGAGCAAAAGUUCCAUCUUCUUUGGAUGACUGAAGAACUUAAGGCUGAGUAUGCAGCGCAUCAGUUGCAGGGACCGGCUGGGAUUUGGUGGUCCCAUCACCGUACCACCUACCCAGAGGGGACCCCAAUUACCUAGAACCGCUUCACCGCCGCUUUUCGGGGAAAUUGCAUUCCUCUGGGUGUGGUGGAAAUGAAGGUUGGGGAGUUCAUGAGGCUGUCCCAGUGAACGAAGUCUGUAAAGGAGUAUCAACACGCUUUUAACAAUCUCGCUCGUUACGCCCCCGAGUAUGUGAACACGGAAGCCAAGAAGAUCGCUAGUUUCCAGAGAGGCUUGAGCCCAAAGAUGUUGAAGACUAUGGGUACAGGAGCCCGGGCUACCUUCAAUGCUUACAUCAGUGACUGUCUCACCCAGGAAAACAAUAACAACAACUACAGUGCAUCCAAGUCUCGUAAGAGGGCUUUUGAAGCUGGGUCAUCUCAGUCUAGGGCACCAGUGGCGGGGCGACAGCAGUAUCGUCCUCCUGCCCUAGGUGCAGUAUGGACUUUAUCAUGGGUUUACCGACAACAUGAAAAGGGAAUGACUUGAUUUGGGUAAUCAUAGAUCGAUUCACCAAGUCGGCUCAUUUCAUUCCAGUUAAGAACACGUACAGACCUCCCGAGUAUUCCUAAGGCCAUUAUAUCAGAUAGAGGACCACAGUCCACUGCUCAUUUCUGGGAGCGAAUGCAUAAGAGUUUGGGGACUAGUCUGAUAAGAAGCACAGCGUAUCAUCCCCAAACCUCGGGUCAAACGGAAAGACUCAAUCAAGUGCUCGAAGAUAUGCUGAGGGCUUGUGUGUUAUCAUCCAAAGGAUCAUGUGAGUCAUGGUUGCCUUUGUCUGAGUUCUCAUACAAUAAUAGCUAUCAAGAGAGUAUCAAGAUGGCUCCGUUCGAAGCGUUGUAUGGUCGUAAGUGUAGAACUCCGUUAAACUGGGUUGAACCGGGUGAAAGGAGAUACUAUGGUAUCGACUUCGUGAACGAGGCUGAGAAAAAGGUGCAAAUCAUACAGCAGCAUAUGAAGGCGGCACAAUCGCGACAAAAGAGUUAUGCUGAUAAGAGAAGAAGGCCGCUCGAAUUCAAUAUAGGUGAUUAUGUUUACCUCAAGGUUACGCCAAUGAAGAUAGUUCAGCGUUUCUGAGUUCGAAGCAAGCUUGCACCCACAUAUGUGGGACCAUAUCAGAUACUAGAAAGGAAAGGCCCUAUGGCCUACAAGAUUCAGUUACCCGAAGAGUUAAGUUCAAUCUUCCCAGUCUUCCAUGUGUCGUAGCUGCGGUAAUGUUUGCAAGUACCCGAGCAGAGGAUUGAACUGUAACAGAACCGACCAAAUUAUAAGAGAUUAAGCCUAAUAGUGACCAUUUGCAUAGUCGAACUAUCACGCUUAAGCCCAUAUAAUCCCGGUAGUCCGUGAAAUCUCGAUGGAUUUCAAACCACACAUCACAUAACAGCCAAGAUCGUAAUAAGUUUAGCGGUCGCCAUCCACAAGUACAUCCAGAUUACAACAUUCAUAAAAUACAUCGGAGUGCUUAAAGUUAUUACAAACCAAGUUCUUCAAGUAGCGGAAGCUUCAUAGUUUGAAAUUUACAACACACACGAUAAGUCUGUUACAGUGCCAUAGUUCGGUCAUUCCCACAAAAGCAAAAGAAGAGACGGAGUGACCAUCGCCCUUGGUCUAGUCAUCACCCACAGCUGGGUACAGACAGAGGAUGCAAUAACCAUAGUACAUUUGACCAUCUGCAAAACAACAUGGGAAUAGAACCCUGAGUACGAGAAGGUACUCAGCUAGACUUACCCAUCAUAAACUUAAAAUAAAGACUCAUCAAGGAUCAUGAAGGCUAUAUAGUGGGGUAGCUGACGACCAUUUUGCAAAACCGCAGUAUUUCGCUAACAUAACCUACAUAAGUCUUUCUUCUUUUAAUUGGCUCAAGUUGAAAGUAUCAUUACCUAUCGUCUAGGUUUGCACCUGCACUAUUACAAGCAAGUAGGAGACUAUGAUAGUACCUCAUCAUAGCAUUUCUUAAAACUAUUCAUCAUUAUAACCCAAGUGUUCCAUAGUCCUUACUACGAGGACAGGGCUCAUGUCAAGUGCUCACUAUCUAGGAGCGAUGGCGAUUCGAAUCGAUUUCUAACCAGUUGGCAAAUUUAUUCCCCACACAAACCACACUCACUGAUCAAGUGAGCUACAGGUCACCGUGUUGCACUAUCCAGGACCAAUUCGCGGGUUCGACAGGCACCGCCCGUACCCGAGGACCGUUCCGGCGACCGAGGUAUCCAAGGUAUACCAAGGUUGCGCGCCGCGCCCUCGUCGUUCUCCUCAACCAUCACCAAUACAGCGCGUACAUCGGGCCGAUUCCCGGCCCGGAUAGUGCUCAGGCUUCGCGGUCGGAACGACUUAUCCUUCCAGCUAAAUGUGGGGCAUGCGUUCAACAUGACAAGAGGGCCGUCAACGAUCGGUCCUUAAUCGACACAGGCAGGGGCUCUAUGGGCAACCCACCAUAAGACCCUGCCCGGUCUCCAAUUACAGUUCACACUUGGUUAUUUCUUUCCCCAAGCAACCACUGCUUAAUCAAGCAGGUAUCCACCUAUAUCUCGCAGGUGACAGGGCAUCACCCGACUUCUACCGGACUAAGCAAGCUAAGCAUAGACUCCGCGCCUAUCUACAUAGGACAAGGUAGAUAAACGAGUAGGGAUGACAAGGAGUACAUAUGCAGCAACGGUAUCAGGCAACUCCUAUCACUUAAUAUGCAAUACAGUAGAACAAGUAUAACACUUUAUAUAAGUUAGCGAGAAUAGGGAGACUUAGAAUGCUCCGGGGCUUGCCUUUCUCAAAGGUGCUGGGUCGGUGAUCCGGACACUCUUGCAAUUCCUCUCCGGUUUCCUGUGCUUCCGGAGGUUCCUGCUCCUGUAUCUCCUCGGGUUCCUCGGGUCCCACUUCGUUCUCCUGCGAGCCUGUAUGAUGCAUAUAUGCUCAUGAGUGGAGUGCUAGAUGCCCGAGUGGAUGCUUGUAUGAGAAAGUACCAAAGGACCAUGACAUGAUGCAUGGAUGAUACACUUGGUCAUGUUCAUUACAAUGUAUGCAACAUCAUCCAAGAACAGGCACUUGGAUUAAGCAUCUAUUGCAUUCUCCUCUACAAUUAUUUUUCAAAUGAAAUCAGCAACCUACAUGAUGCUUCAAAGAUACACCAAACCCAACUUAGUCCAUUCAACCUACAUACACAACCAUUCAUAAUUUUCUUUAUUCAUUUCUAAGCCCAUUAAAAAUCACAUGCAAUUCUGUUCAUCAAUAAAUUCCAGAAAAAUUACAGGAGACUACUAGUUAAUCAUAAAGUCUACUGUAAAUUUUUCAUAAUUUUUGGUUACUUAUUUUGAGCCACAAAAAUCACAAUAUUAAUGGAUAAGGCAAGUAUAAUCACCCUACUGUGAUAUAAGUGUCAAACAACAGAUUUCAUAUUUUUACAAUUUAUCUAAUAUCAUAAGAAACACCCACAAAAUUUUCCAGAUUUAUUGCAUGACCCAUUUAAUUAUUAAAAAUCAUAAAGCACUGCCAUGCAAGCAUUUAAAUUACCAUAAAUUCAUUUAUUCACCAAAUAAUAUGCAACAAUAUUUUCUCGGUGAUUAAACACACAUGCAGAGCCAGCAAAACAAGUUUUACAUUUUUCUGAACCCUAUUUUAUUUACUAUGCAUUUUCCAAGUUUAGGAAAAACAUGGAUUAAUUAUAUUCUUACAGGAAAGUUACUCAAAAAUGACAUGCAAUCAUACUAGGCUGUAGAUCUAGAAAUAAGGAACACACCAAAAUUUAUUUCACCAUUUUUGGAGCUAUAUUCAUCAAGAUAUGGAUUUUUGAACAUUUAAAUCAUUUCGUGGAAAAACUUUUAAAACGGAAAACCACCUAAAACACUAAACGCACCCGGAUCCAUUCCCUCGGAGUCACUGACAGGCGGGACACGCGAGUCAGAGGACCCCACCUGUCAUCCACCCCGUGACCCCGCGGCCAAAGAUCGGCCGGAAUCUCGCCGCCGGUGAGGUUUCUGGCGACACCGUGAGCACCUACGGCUUCGCGCGAACGAAACGAGUCCAGCCGUACCCUCUUUGGCACCGGACGAGCACCGGAACUACCUCGCCGUCGUGAAUGGCGGACGCGGCGGCGUUGCUCGCCGUGGUCCGGCCGUUUCACGGCGGUAGAGCGUGAGCUAGUGACGGGAAAAGGUGCGCGAGGUCAAGGCGGACCCAAAGCACCUACGAGCGCAAGCAGAGAACCGCGCGAGCCGAGAGGUCGCCGGAGCUCCGACUUACUCCGGUGAGCUCUAGCGGACACGCAGGGCUUACCGAGCGCGGAAGAGCGUAAGCACGCGACGCGGAAGGACGAGGCGGAGCCGGUGGUGGUCGCGAAGGGGAAGGAGAGGGCCGGAGCUGGCCGGGAGAGGAGCUCCGAGCCGUCGGCGGCUAUGGCGUGCGGCGGAGCGGCGAGCGCUGCGCGAGAGCGAGCAGAGAGGCGAGAGCGAGCGGUGGAGGGUGCAAAUGGAAGCGGGGGCUUCGGCGGGCGCGUCCAGGGGCUCCUGGUGGCCGACCAGGGCGUCUCCACGCCGCCGCAUGCCCGCCACGCGGCGGCCAGGCUCUGCCGGCGCGCCACGGCGGCACGGCGAGGCCGUCCGCGCGCGCGGACGCAGGCGCGAGCGCGAGGAGGGGGAAGGGGAAGGCGCGGGCGGGCCAGGCCGGCUUCGGCCAGCGGGCCAGAAGCGAGGCCGCGGCCUGCUAGCGCCCCCUUUCCCUUUUCUAUUUUUUUUUGAAUUUCUUUUCUCAAAUCCUCUUCCAAAAGCAUUUUGACCAUUUUCAAAUCAUUUUCACCAUUUUCACCCAAAAGCAAAGUGGUGCCAAACUAAAAGCUCUACAACUUUGCUUUAAUAGGUAAGACCAAAUUCUAAAUAGAAUUUGAAUUACAAAUUAAAACUUAGUUCUAGGUUUUUAAAUAAAGUUAUUUUGGAUAUUUUGUAUAAAUUCCAUUUCUCAAUUUCCAUAGCUCCAAAAAUUGCACAAAAAUGUUCUUAAUUCUUCUUACACAUAAAGCAACCUAAUUUGAAUAUUUCACAAUUUUUGAAGCAAGCACCACAUUUUUAACAUAUUUAAAACGUAUGAAAUGAUGCACUUAAAAUCAUAUUCUUAGAAGAAUGACAUGCUCAUGAUGCUUAUGAUUGAUGAGAGUGCUUAUGCAUGACUUUGAUGAGACUAAGUGCAUGCUUAACACCUAGGGUGUUACAGCCCUUCCCCCCUUAGGGAAAUCUCGUCCCGAGAUUUUGGGUUACUAACCAUUUCUUGUGAAAUUUUGGAUAAACUGUUUUUAAGUAAUCCUCUGUUUCCCAAGUGGCAUCCCUAUCGUCAUGAUGACUCCACACCACUUUGUAAGUUCUGACAACUCUGUUUCGGGUUACUCGCUCCUUGGUAUCCACAAUCCCCACUGGCUGCUCCUUAUACUCUAGGUCUGCUUUUAUCUUGAUCCCUCGAGGUUCAAUUCUUUGCUCAGGCACUUUCAAACAUUUCCGUAGUUGCGACACAUGGAAGACCGGAAAGAUCGAGCUCAUCUCUUCAGGUAACUGAAUCUUAUAGGCCACUGGGCCUUUCCUCUCUAGCACUUGGUACGGUCCCACAUAUCUGGGUGCAAGCUUGCUUCGAACUCGGAAACGUUGAAUUUUCUUCAUUGGCGUAACCUUGAGGUACACAUAGUCACCUAUGUUGAAUUCAAGUGGCCUUCUUCUCUUAUCCGCAUAACUCUUUUGUCGUGACUGUGCCACUUGCAUAUGCUGCUGUAUGAUAUGCACCUUUUUCUCGGCAUCAUUCACAAAGUCGAUACCAUAGUAUCUUCUUUCACCAGGUUCAACCCAGUUUAACGGAGUUCUACAUCUUCGACCAUACAAAGCUUCAAACGGGGCCAUCUUGAUGCUCUCUUGAUAACUAUUAUUGUAGGAGAAUUCAGCCAAUGGUAACCACGACUCCCAUGAUCCCUUGGAUGAUAGCACACAGGCCCUCAGCAUGUCUUCUAACACUUGAUUUAGCCUCUCGGUUUGACCUGAAGUCUGGGGAUGAUACGCCGUGCUUCUUAUCAAACUGGUCCCCAAGCUCUUAUGCAUGCGCUCCUAGAAGUGAGCGGUGAACUGCGGUCCUCUAUCUGAUAUGAUUGUCUUGGGAAUACCAUGCAACUUGACAAUCUCAGCCAUAUAUAUAUCGGCAUACUCAGGAGGUCGGUAACGAGUCUUCACAGGGAUGAAAUGGGCCGAUUUGGUCAAUCGAUCUAUUAUUACCCAAAUCGAGUCAUUCCCCUUCCUGGUUGUCGGUAAACCCGUGAUAAAGUCCAUACUGACCUCUUCCCAUUUCCACUCCGGAACUGAUAACGGUUGCAACAGACCUGCAGGUUUCAUAUGGAUGGCCUUAACCCUGCAACACGUGUCACAACGGGCCACAUAAGCGACUAUUUCUGUCGAGGGUAUCGGUAGGGGGUACCCUCAGCGAUACGCAUUAUGAGAUUGCCCAUACGAAGGUUGGGACCCCCAACUCGACGCCUUAAUCUUACUUACGCGCCGCCAACGACGAUCGCAGCCUCGAAUACGGAGAUAGCGUCGAGCGAAUCAGUCAGGGCUCGAGCAACGACUACCGUCGAAGACGGAAGCGGGCUCGAGCGAACCGAGAAACGUCGAGCGUUAGGACACUGUCCGCCGCCUGACGCGCGCACGCGAGCGGGAGCAUUGAAUGCAUCUGACGUUUCCCACCUAACACCCGGGUCACGGAAGGCGUGAUAGGGAACAAGCUUCUGUCCCAUCGUUCUUUUUGCAGCCUUCCCACCGAACGACCCAGGGUGCGUCAGGACGCAGGAAACGAGGAUGGAACGUCUAAUCGGGACCCCCUCGAGACACCCAAGGUCAGCGCUCCGGAUGUCAGCCUAUUACGCGGCGCCCGAACCUCGACCGAACGAGGUCCCUUCCCAGGGACAAGUCGGGCAUCGACUGACAACACCACAGCUGCUCCGCCGGAUCCGCCACCAUACCAUACGAGCAUGCGAUCUCAGAACCAGCACAAGGCGGCUGGCAGGGCAGCACGCAGGAGCACGCGUAAUCAUCACCAAGCUAUCAAGAUGGGACGGCUCGAGGCCAUGACGUACGGAAGCCUCGAGUAGGUCAGCGCUCCAUGCGGCUAUCGAUCCCUACUCUAAUAUCUAUGCAUGUACCCUUUGUCUCUCCUUGGAGCUAUAAAAGGAGGGACUCAGGAAUAGAAGGGAGGGAUCACAACGCAAGCACACACACACACGUAGUAGAGCGGCACAUUUCAUUCCACACUUGUAUUCGCCCCUGUACAAGCACUUAGGUGCAAGAUAAUACAAACUCUCCCCCCCCACUGGACGUAGGGCCUUCUCUUGCCCGAACCAGGAUAAAUCUCUGUGUUUUCUCGCAUCACCAUCCGGAAAGGGGAGCACGCAUAUAAAUUUACUCGUUGGUGUGAUCCCCCCCCGGGGGAAAAACACCGACAGUUGGCGCGCCAGGUAGGGGUCCUGCGUGUUUUUUACCGAUUUCCCACCACUUUCCGGAUGGCUACUCCUGCCUUGCCGCUUCCACGCUCCACGGUGAUUUGGUUUGGGAGUCUCGAGUUCAUGUCUACGGGCUCCGGCUACGACAUGAUCUUGCUCUCAGUCAAAGGACCAGGAGAAGUCCGCGUUACGCCAGCACGGUUGAAGACCUCAAGACGCCCUCACCACCACGCCUCCCCGCCUAAGAAGAGGCGCGGGCUCAACCACCGCGGCCCCUCUGCUUCAGCGCGACCAGCAACUCGCGCAAGGCAGGAUGUGGGCCGCAAGGCAGCGACACCGCGUGACCGAGCAACAAGCACAACGACUCAGCACCACGCAACGACAGGGGGAGACGCGUCUCGCGCGCCCACCCCCACCGCAGCUAGGCUACUUCCACACGGGUUGUUCUUUCCAAGGGCGGCACUGCCGUUCGGGUUGGACAACGCCGCGGCGUCGCUCGCCAAGACGAUACGCCCAAAUGCUCAGACGCACGUGGAAAGACCAAUGGUCAUCCCACGUAGCUCUGAAGAGCAGCGGCCGACGUCCAAACUGCCGGACCUUUCCCGAGUACGAGGCCUCCGCCGUCUAGGCCCCGGGCGAUACUCGAUCACCUCCCUCGAGCAACGAUGGUCGGAGGAAGGACGUGAGCGUUCCCACACUGCCGAACCAGACUCCGACUCCGAGACAGACAGCUACGACCCUACGAGGGAAUGCUAUCACCUCGACGGAGUGGCAGAAACCACCGACGAGAUACGGGACGCCGUUGCGGGUGGACGAGCCCCCGCGGCGCAAGAAGACCCCAGGACGCCUGGGAACGACGGAAGGUUCGACCCUCUUCCUCAGGAAGAUAGAACUGCGCAACUCGCGCAGCUGCGGGAGCUCAAGAUGAAGCUCGACGAAGAUCGCGAGCGCCUCGUCCUGCUCGAGCAAAUCCUCGAACAAGACCUGCCCUACCCGCCAGGCGGAAGUAUCCGCAGACGCGCUCGAGAGGUACAUCGACAGAUCGUCGGUGACACGGAGGCGGAGCAACCUGUCGGCCGUUUCCCUCGAGCAGGCCAGAAUGUAGUGGCGGCGACGAUGCUGCUACGUAACAUGCCAGAACCAUCGAAUUCCCAGGCUCGACGAAUUCGAGAUGAGGUUCAGACGUUGCUCCAGGUGGCAGCAGUUCAACAAGCCGAAAGUUCGGCAUCUCGACGACGAGGAGCUGCCACAGAGAAGCGCGACGAACAGCCUCUAAUCGAAGAGGAGGUGUCUGUCCAGCAACAACCUCCCCCUCGAGGCAGAAAGACCACUCUCAUCCUCCCUACCAACAAUCAACGUCGACACGACGCGCGACACGACGUCAGAGAAAGUAGACGCCGACGGCACGGAGACGCGGAAGAACGUGGUUAUAGCGCGCAUCGCGGUGGGAGGUACGACAGUGACGCGGACCGGGUGGCCCCCGAGCCACCAGGCCCGCGGGUGUUCAGCAGAGCAAUUCGCAGCACACCCCUGCCUAGUCCAUUCCGACCCCCAACCAGCAUCGCGAAGUACAAUGGAGAAACCAAGCCAGAGCUAUGGCUGGCCGAUUUCAGGCUGGCUUGUCAGCUAGGCGGCGCUCGGGGGGAUGAUCGAGCCAUCAUCAGACAACUACCCCUUUUUCUCUCCGACACCGCCCGUCGAUGGCUCGAGGAGCUCCCAGCCAAUCAGAUUCACAACUGGGUUGACCUGGUCAGAGUCUUCGAAGGUAACUUCAAAGGGACCUAUAUACGGCCAGGGAACUCGUGGGACCUCAGCAAAUGCAAGCAGAAGACAGGAGAGACUCUUCGGGAGUAUGCUCAACGCUUCUCGAAGCAACGCACUGAGUUACCACACAUCCCCGACCACGACGUCAUCUUGGCGUUUGUCUCGGGCACCACCAGUCGAGACUUGGUGCGGGAAUUAGGCCGCAAUCGACCUCAGACCGUCGACGAGCUGAUGGACGUAGUAGCUAACUACGCGGCAGGGGAGGAGGCAGUCGGCGCUUUCUUCAGCUCAGAAGGAAGAAAAGGCAAGCAGCCCGUCGAUGAAGAAAGGACUAGGCCUCAAGAAAAAUAAAAAGAAGCAGAAAGUACGGCAAUUCCACCAGGGAGAUUCGGAUGACGACCUCGUCGCCACGGUGGAUCGAAAGAAGCCGCGAGGCCCUCCGGAGGGAGGCAUCUUCGACAAGAUGUUGGAGGAGCCGUGCCCUUACCAUAAGGGGGGCGCUAACCACAAACUCAAGGAUUGUCGCAUGCUGAGAAAGCAUUUCGACGGUCAGGAGCUCAAAAAAGAUGCGCGUGAUGACUCCAAGAAGGAGAAGGCCGGCGGCAAGGAGGACAACAAAGAUGACGACGGCUUCCCCGCCGUCCACGACUGCUACAUGAUCUAUGGCGGGCCUUCGACUCAGUUGACCACGAGGCAGCGCAAGAGGGAGCGUCGCGAAGUCUUCGCGGCGAGGAUGGCGGUGCCCCAGUACCUUAGCUGGUCAAGCACUCCCAUCACCUUCGACCGAGAAGAUCACGCUGACAAGGUGGUCGCCCCAGGCGUCUACCCGCUCGUCGUCGACCCCAUCAUCAUCAACACCCGACUCUCGAAAGUGCUGAUGGAUGGUGGCAGCAGCCUCAACAUCAUCUACCUCGAGACCCUCGACCUCCUCGGCAUCGACAGAGGACGCCUCCAGCCAAGCGCCGGUGGUUUCCAUGGCGUCGUACCAGGGAAAAAGGCACUGCCAGUAGGUCGAAUCGACCUACCGGUCUGCUUCGGCACGGCGGCCAACUUCAGGAAAGAAACCCUCACCUUUGAGGUGGUCGGGUUCCGAGGCACGUACCACGCCAUCAUCGGGCGCCCGGGCUACGCCAAGUUCAUGGCUAUACCCAACUACACAUACUUGAAGCUCAAGAUGCCUGGUCCCAAAGGCGUCAUCACCUUCAGUUCCUCCUUUGAGCACGCGUACGAGUGCGACGUCGAGUGCGUCGAGUACGGGGAGGCGGUCGAGAGCUCCACCGAGCUCGUUGCAAAGCUCGAAGCCAUGGCCACUGAGGCUCCAGAACCUAAACGUCAUGCGGGCAGCUUCGAGGCGGCGGAAGGAACUAAGAAGAUCCCACUCGACCCCAACAACUCCGACGGCAAGGUGCUGACGAUCAGCACCGACCUCGACCCCAAAUAGGAAGCCGUGCUCGUCGACUUUCUCCGUGCGAAUGCUGAUAUGUUUGCAUGGAGUCCCUCGGAUAUGCCGGGCAUACCAAGGGAAGUCGCCGAGCACUCCUUGGAGAUUCGAGCCGGUUCCAAGCCAGUGAAGCAGCGUUUGCGCCGAUUCGACGAGGAAAAGCGCAAGAUCAUUGGCGAGGAAGUCCACAAGCUUUUGACGGCCGGAUUCAUCAAGGAGGUUCAUCAUCCUGACUGGUUCACCAUCCCCUCGGAGUCGUCGCUACUCUCGUCGUCAUCAUCAUCGUCGUUGGGGGAUUCUUCCUCCGGCUCCCCCCUCUGCCUGGAUUUGGCUCGACGCGCCUCUAAUGCUUGGCGGUCGAGAUUCUUCUUCUUCUCCCCCUUUUUUGCGGAGUCCUUGGCAGACUUCAACUUCUCGGCGGAUUGGCGCCGUUUGUCGCGAUCGACCUCGUCCUCCUUUACUGGAGGCCUCGAGGACCGGACAUCAAUCCGACCCUGCCAAAACUAAGGUAGACUUAGAAAACAAAGAGAGGGGAGAGGGGAAACCUAGAAUCGAGGAUGCGCGCAAGAAGAAAGCGUACCAGAUCGAUCGAGCCCGCGUCGGGUCGCAUGGGGAAGCCGUUGACGUGCUCCGGUUUAAAAUCACCGGCAAUUGCGGCCCUGACUCGGGCCGCGACUUCAUCGUCCGUCGGAGGCUCGCUGGACAUCCGACAUGCCUCGAGGUCCCGAGACGAGACGCCAGGGCCCAUCUCGUCCAUCCUCAGCGGUCGUGACAUCAGAGGGAGAACUCUCCGAUGAUGGACGGCCGAGAGGACGAGGGCGGCGGUCAAACCUUCCUGGCGAAGCUUCUUCAGGGCGUCGAGGAGAGGGUCGAGCCGAGGCUGAUGAGCUUGGACGACGCCGUAUGUCCAGUCCGCUGGGCGCUCCAAGAUCAGACGGCCCGAGUAGGGAGGUAGGAGGUUGUCGUCAUUCCGCAGGUAGAACCAUUGAGAGUCCCAACCGGCAUGGUUGGUCGACAACCCUACCGGGAUGUACUCCCGCGGCCGGUCCGUCUUCCCCGUCUUCUGCACCAGAUUGAGGCAACCCGCUCGCACGGGUUUCCUCACGCCCGUGGUUCCGGUGGAGGCGUGAAACAGCUCGCCCCUAUAGAGGUGGAGCCACAGCUCCCAGUGCGGCAUCAUCCCUAGGAAGCCCUCACACACGGCGGCGAAGACCGCCGCCACGGUGAUGGCGUUCGGGGAGAAGUGCUGCAGCUCCACCCCAUAAUGGAAGCAGAGGGCCCGCAUGAAGCGGCUGGGAGGCGCGCCCAGACCGUGGCGGUGGAACUUGGCGAACGACACCACGUAGCCCUCGGGUGGCUGAGGCGUCCUGUGGCUCGCUGGCGGCGCGAUCCACUCUGGCGACGACAGCGAGGUGCGGCGGCGCAGCAGUCCCUCCUUCUCGAGCUCCAACAGCCGGCGCUCCGUCAUCGACGACGGGCGCCAGUCAUCGGCGGCGACGAGUCUUACAGGCAUCUCGGCUAACGGGACGGUGGGUUCGCUACGGCUCGAGGGGGCGCGUCUGCGUGAGAUGACGAGAAAGCAAGGGCAGCGAAAGAACGAGAGCGAGAAGGCGGAAGGGAGAGGAACGGCGGUGACGCGACGACAUAUUUAUAGGCAGCUGUCCGCCAACGGACAGAUCCGAGAAGUAAGGUAACUCCCCCAUAAAUGCGCCGCCUGACAGCUCUCUCUCUCUCCUCACAGGCCGGACUCUCCGAAUUCCUCGCCGAUACGGUGUCGCAACGUCAUCCGCCUAAAAAGACGCGCCCAACGGGCAGAAAUGCGAACCGCCACGACCGUUUCCUUCCCUCGUAAGCCAGGGGACAUAACCGCAGAAGUCUCGGGAGGUCGAUGGCUGGCCCGACGAAAGGGUUCGACAGCCGAUCUCGAGCGCCAGAGUCAGGGAUCCCCAGCGAGUGGUCGAAAAUCGAGGCCCGCCUCGAGGACUUGCUGGCGAUGUCCAAGGUAGGGUCGAGACAGUCGAGAGGAAUCCCCGCGAAGGGAGGCAUCGAGCCACUGGACUCUAUCGAAUGAGACCGGUAUCCCCGACCACGUCGACCCUGCUUUAUGAGGACGCCUCCGGGCUACAGCUGACCCCCCUCGAAAGGGGCACAGGUUCUCACUUGGACUACCCGCCAGGAACUCAAUUUGGGUUGAAAGACGCUCGCUCUAUCGAGAGUACGUCAAAACCCAUGGGCAAACACGAGCCAGUCAGAAUCUUCCACCACUGGUGUCGAAAGCGUUUCUGCGAAUUAGAUAACAUAACCCUCGAAGGAGUCAAAAACUCCUCCGAGGUCUCGGGGGCUACCCCGCGGGGUCGCUCGCGCGCCCCCACGAAAAUUCGACCGCAAAUCAAAACCUCCAUUCGAGCGCUAGCGCUCGAAUGAAGGCUCGGGGGCUACUGUCGAGGGUAUCGGUAGGGGGUACCCUCAGCGAUACGCAUUAUGAGAUUGCCCAUACGAAGGUUGGGACCCCCAACUCGACGCCUUAAUCUUACUUACGCGCCGCCAACGACGAUCGCAGCCUCGAAUACGGAGAUAGCGUCGAGCGAAUCAGUCAGGGCUCGAGCAACGACUACCGUCGAAGACGGAAGCGGGCUCGAGCGAACCGAGAAACGUCGAGCGUUAGGACACUGUCCGCCGCCUGACGCGCGCACGCGAGCGGGAGCAUUGAAUGCAUCUGACGUUUCCCACCUAACACCCGGGUCACGGAAGGCGUGAUAGGGAACAAGCUUCUGUCCCAUCGUUCUUUUUGCAGCCUUCCCACCGAACGACCCAGGGUGCGUCAGGACGCAGGAAACGAGGAUGGAACGUCUAAUCGGGACCCCCUCGAGACACCCAAGGUCAGCGCUCCGGAUGUCAGCCUAUUACGCGGCGCCCGAACCUCGACCGAACGAGGUCCCUUCCCAGGGACAAGUCGGGCAUCGACUGACAACACCACAGCUGCUCCGCCGGAUCCGCCACCAUACCAUACGAGCAUGCGAUCUCAGAACCAGCACAAGGCGGCUGGCAGGGCAGCACGCAGGAGCACGCGUAAUCAUCACCAAGCUAUCAAGAUGGGACGGCUCGAGGCCAUGACGUACGGAAGCCUCGAGUAGGUCAGCGCUCCAUGCGGCUAUCGAUCCCUACUCUAAUAUCUAUGCAUGUACCCUUUGUCUCUCCUUGGAGCUAUAAAAGGAGGGACUCAGGAAUAGAAGGGAGGGAUCACAACGCAAGCACACACACACACGUAGUAGAGCGGCACAUUUCAUUCCACACUUGUAUUCGCCCCUGUACAAGCACUUAGGUGCAAGAUAAUACAAACUCUCCCCCCCCCCGCUGGAUGUAGGGCCUUCUCUUGCCCGAACCAGGAUAAAUCUCUGUGUUUUCUCGCAUCACCAUCCGGAAAGGGGAGCACGCAUAUAAAUUUACUCGUUGGUGUGAUCCCCCCCCGGGGGAAAAACACCGACAAUUUCUUUCUUCAUCUUGGUCCACCAAAAGUGGGGCCUUAGAUCUUGAUACAUUUUGCUGCUGCCAGGAUGAAUAUAAAGCUUAGAGAGAUGGGCUUCAUCCAUGAUGCGAUUCUUCAACUCCCGAUCUUUCGGGACCACUAACCGCUGUUGAAACCACAGUACCCCCUUCUCAUCAACCCGAAACUGAGUCUUUGGGUAAUCCUUGAUCUUUUCUUUGAUAUGGAAGAUACCCUUGUCUGUUUUCUGACCUUCAAUGAUUUGACUCUCGAGUGAGCAACUGAGUUGUAUAUGACAUAAGACCUCAGGAUGCAUGAGAUUGAACCCAUCUUCAAACAACGGUUGAACCACUUGACAGUGUGGUUUACGACUUAGAGCAUCUGCUACUACAUUAGCCUUGCCUGGAUGAUAGUGAACUUCCAGGUCAUAGUCCUUGAUUAGCUCUAACCACCGUCGUUGCCUCAUAUUCAGCUCGGACUGCGUGAAGAUGUACUUCAAGCUCUUAUGAUCGGUAUAAAUGUGACACUUAUUUCCCAGCAGAUAAUGUCUCCAAAUCUUCAAAGCAUGCACCACAGCUGCUAACUCGAGGUCGUGCGUUGGGUAAUUGACUUCAUGCUUUCUCAACUGUCGGGAAGCAUAAGCUAUCACCCUGCCAUCUUGCAUCAACACACACCCCAGGCCACUCUUCGAUGCGUCACAAAACACAUCAAAAGGCUUCUCUAUAUUAGGUUGUGCCAGAACGGGAGCAGUGGUUAGCAACUUUCGCAAGGUGCGGAAGGCUAACUCACACCCUUCCGUCCAGACAAACUUAUGGUCCUUUUGUAGCAAACUUGUCAUUGGUUUAGCAAUCUUGGAGAAGUCAGGUAUAAAACGACGAUAAUACCCGGCCAGACCAAGAAAACUUCUAACUUCCGAGACCGAAGUUGGUGCCUUCCAGUCCAUGACUUCCUGCACUUUUGAUGGAUCCACAGCAAUUCCUUCUUCAGACAGAAUGUGCCCUAGGAAAGGAACUUUCUUUAACCAGAACUCACACUUGCUGAACUUGGCAUAUAACUGAUGCUCUCGUAACCGUGUCAGCACGAUUCUCAGAUGUUCGGCGUGAUCUUGCUCAUUUUCUGAAUACACCAGGAUAUCAUCGAUAAACACCACAACAAACUUAUCCAAUUCAGGCAUAAAGACUGAAUUCAUCAGAUACAUAAAGUAUGCAGGAGCAUUCGUCAACCCAAAGGACAUGACAAGAUACUCAUACAACCCAUAUCUGGUGGAAAAAGCAGUCUUCGGGAUAUCUUGCGGACGAAUCUUGAUUUGGUGAUACCCAGAUCUCAAAUCUAUCUUAGAAAACACUCUUGCCUUGGAUAACUGAUCAAACAGGAUAUCAAUCCUUGGCAAGGGAUACUUAUUUUUGAUUGUCACUGCAUUGAGUGGACGAUAGUCCACGCACAUGCGCAACGACUGAUCCUUCUUUUUCACAAACAACGCUGGACAACCCCAUUCCGACGAGCUUGGCCGGAUGAACCCUUUAUCCAGCAACUCUUUUAGUUGAUUCUUCAACUCAGCGAGUUCAUUUGGGGGCAUCCGAUACGGCCUUCUAGAUAUUGGUGCUGUACAUGGUAUCAACUCGAUUGCAAACUCUACCUCCCUAUCUGGGGGAAGUCCUGGUAAAUCCUCAGGAAACACAUCAGGGAACUCACAUACCACGGGUAUGUGUUCUAGAGGGACUACCUGUACUGCACAUGAAAGACUGGCGAAGUCCAACCGUCUAGGUAGCUUGACCUGAAGCACCCCCUUCCCUUGCGGGUCUCUAAGGGAAAGAGUUCUAUUCUCGGUAUCUAUAACCGCGCCCCAAUCAGUCAUCUUGUUCAUUCCAAUGAUGACAUCCAAAACCAGUCCUGGCAUGACCACAAGAUUUACACGGAACCUCCGACCACUGAUAUCCAAGGUAACUCCUGUUACCGUUUUAUUAGUCAACACAUCGGCUCCGGCUGAGCUGAUGCGAUAGCCAUAACCUAACUCAGUAACUGGCUGAUCAUGCUUUUGUGCAAAUGCUUGGCUCAUGAAUGAAUGCGAUGAUCCAGAAUCAAACAAAACAACUGCAAGAUGUUGGUUGACAGAAAACAUACCAGCUGUUACCGGUUCUCCUUCCGGAAUCUCCUCGAUCGAGGUAUGGUGCACACGAGCUGGAUAGGUUGGCUGCUGCCUUUUGGGGUAGGGACAUUCCUUAGCAAAGUGCCCCAUCUUGUGGCAGUUAUAGCAUGGACCCUUGGGCGCAUUGUUGGCGGCAGGUGCUGCAGCUUGAAUUGCCUUUGGCUUGGCAGGGGCUAUCGCCACCUUGUACGGCUUCUGUUGUGUUGGAUGCCCGGUGUUCCUUCUCUGCGGCGGUCGGAACCUAGCACCCGGGGCAGGAGGACGAUACUGCUGUCGCCCUGCCACUGGUGCCCUGGACUGGGAUGAUCCUGCUUCAAAAGCCCUUUUACGUGACUUGGAUGCACUGUAGUUGUUGUUAUUGUUCUCUUGGGUCAGACAGUCGCUGAUAUAGCCAUUGAAAGUAGCCCUGGCCCCUGUACCCAUGGUCUUCAGCAUCUUUGGAUUCAAACCUCUCUGGAAACUAGCAAUCUUCUUAGCCUCCGUGUUUACAAACUCAGGGGCAUAGCGAGCGAGAUUAUUGAAAGCGUGUAGAUACUCCUUCACAGACUUCGUCCCUUGGGAUAGCCUCAUGAACUCCCCAACCUUCAUUUCAACCACACCAGGAGGAAUGUAAUUUCCCCGGAAAGCGGUGGUGAAGCGGUUCCAAGUGAUUGGGGUCCCUUCUGGGUAGGUGGUACGGUGAUGGGACCACCAAAUCCCAGCGGGCCCUUGUAACUGAUGUGCCGCAUAUUCAGCCUUGAGUUCUUCUGUCAUUCGGAGAAGACGAAACUUCUGCUCCAUGGUGUUGAUCCACUCAUCUGCUUCGAGCGGUUCCAAGGCCUCCUUAAAGAUUGGUGGCUUGGUAUCCAUGAAGUCCUUGAACGAACUGUGCUGGUUGACCUCCCGGCCACCCUGAUUAUCCCCACGACGGGUAUUGUCAGCUAUGUUGCGCAAAGCUUCUUCCAUGUUGCGCUGCAUCUGCUCCAUGUUGCGUUGGCUUCCCAGAAACUGCGCGAAAAACACAUCCGCAGUGUACGGGGGAGGUGGUGGUGGUGUUGGCGCUCGGUCCUCAUUCCGUUGAGCCCCAUUUCCGGAUGUACCUGCUCCAAGACCCGGGUUGCCGUUACCCCCGCCACGUGUUUGUACCAUCUGCAUACGCCAAUGAUAAGCAAUCGUUAGGAGUUGCCAUCAACCGGUAGAAAAUGUGUAAAAUUGUGCCAUACUGAAUUUACUGAGGGAAUAAAUUCACACAAUAAACAAAGGCACAACAACUCAUCAUCCACGCACAACAUCACUAACAGAUUACUUAACAUUCACGCAACAAGGUUCGCGUACAUCCAACUUGCCAGCAUACAUACACUGGACUUCCAGCAUCAACUCAUAAAGUCUUACACAGCCCAGAUCCAAAAGUACAUGACAUGCCAUGCAACAUACAUCACAAAAGAGGAAAGGCUAGCUCUAGAGCCCUAGCAUCUAGUCGCUACGAUCACUGUCCAUGCCAGAGCCAUCCUCAUCCUCAUCACCACUAGCAGCUGCCCCUAUCUCGGGAUCCGCGUCCAUCUCGUCCUCAGAGUCUAGCUCAGCUGCUCCAGGCAGGUGGUGAGGGUGGAGCUGGUUAUGCAGCUGGUGGAUCUCCUCAUGCAAGUUCUCAUUGUACUCCUCAGCAUUAGCUAGCUGCUGCUCUAGCUCCAGCUGUCGGGCCCUCAAAGUGUCCUCCUCGUGCCAGGCUUCAUUCCUCUGUCCAAGCACAUGGACUAGCAUGCGCUCGCAGUUCCUGUGAGCAGUAGUCACCCUGUCCUUCUGCUCCCGCACUGCAAGCAGGUCCUGACUCAGCUCACUGUUCUUCUGGACUGCCUGGUCUCUCUCUCUGGUCACACGAGCUAACUCUGCCUGUAGCCUCUCAACCUCAGAGUCAAACUCACGCUGCAACUGACGCUUCUCAUCCUUGACGGUGAGAAGAGACCCGGACAAGCGACCCAAACAACGCUCCAGGCCUCCAUAGGUCUUCAUCAAUGCGUACAUGGCACUCAUAGCUGCACUGUCACUGUGCUGGUCCUCAUCCGCACUCCUCUCUAGAGCAUUCACCUCGGACUGAUCCCACACCGAAGUGUAAGGGUCACCCCGGGGAAACACCCUAGCGAAGGCGUGGGCCAGCUCCUGUGGAAACCUCUCCAUGAGGUCCCUCAAAACUGCGAAAGCUGCCCUGCUGGCACCGUGGAAAGGCGUGACACCUCGGGACUCGUACACCCAACCGCCCCAAGCAGGGUCUCCUCCACUGGUAGGGACAACUGCCUCGAUCCCCACCAGGGUCUCAUCACCAAGCGGCUCCUUAUCCCAAUAGUAGCGAGGCUCCCUUCCUUCGGGAUACCCCAUCGAACUGAGCACCCUCCAAAGCAAAGUGGGCAUCCCAAACUCCUCUAGGAACUUGGUCUUAUGUCGCGAGCUCCUAGCUGCCAACGGACGGCGAGGGGCCCGCCCACCAGUGGACUUGCGAGCGGUGAGCCUAGUGCGUGCCAUCUGCUGCAAAUGGAAUACCGUGGGUAAGAGUGAGGAUUACCUUUAAUUAUUUUAUUUAGAAUUAGGACAGAUUAAAUUAAGGGGGAAAGUAAGCAAUGAUAUGAAAUGCACAUGAUGCAUGUACGAACUUACGAUCUCACAAACUUAGAAAACAAAAGUUAACACUAAGCGGUAUACGCGGUGGCAUACAACGUUCGCUCAUAACGUAACUAGCGUUCUAAGCGAGAACGUGGUUAGGGUACCUGCAGAAAACUCAUUUCAGCCCACCCACAGUAUGAUCGUGCAGAAUAGGAAUUUAAAACUAGGCACUUCGCACACACAGACACCCGUCCAUGCAUGCGAUGUGUCACUACCCACAUCAUCGCCCUUUUGACGGCAUCGCCUCUCAGGACGGAAUUCCCAGCAUGCGGUACUGUUCCCAAGACACACCAACAUGUGCGCAUGGCACAGCACCUGACAACACUCCCCUAGACCGGCAGUGUAUCCGAUCAUGCUCUCACAACUCCCACUUACCAUGGCGUAGAGGAAGAAUUGAUCCAUACAUUACCACUCAAAUGAAUGGCACUCAUACUAUUUGCACGCCGUAUGAGCGACGAAAUGAAAAUAUGAUGCAUUAACCCCCAAGUCAG